GGUGUGUAAAAGAGAGUGUUCAGUGGCCAGGUAACGGCGGCGGGCGCGGCGGCAAGGUCACGACGAGCGAGGCGGAGGAGGAGAGAGAGAAGCGUAAGGAAGAGGAGAAAGAAGAGGAGGAGGAGGAGGAAGAUUGACGGAGGCUCUCCAGGUGAACACAGCUUUUUUUCUCCAAUAUCAACUUACUUUUCUUCUGUCCUCGUCUCCGUCGCUCCUACAUCCGGCCGGUGAAUUAGCGGCGUCACAUUCACUUAUCCGGCGCGUCCUUCUCCCGGGGCUGAGGGAAGCGACCCUGUCUUUCCAGUCCUUCCUCUGGGCGGGAGAGGAAAGAGCGUCUCAUCGCUGGUAAUUUGAAGUGGGAGUCUUUCGAUUUCCUUCGCUCGCUCAUUAGAGCAUUACAAGUUAAUAGGGUGAUAUGUGUUGUGCCAAGGAAAAAAUGUCUCUCCAUACCUCUGAUCCUUGUUAAUUCGAAUACAUGUUUCCGUUCUGCUCCUUCAUUAUAGCACUAAAAUGAAAGAUGAUUUGCAUUUCGUUAAGAAGAAAUCUUUAU
Eriocheir sinensis (Chinese mitten crab) is the source of this 550-nucleotide long non-coding RNA. RefSeq lists it as uncharacterized. NCBI's taxonomy places the organism in Eukaryota, Metazoa, Arthropoda, Malacostraca, Decapoda, Varunidae. The record is from RefSeq and is a predicted model, not a curated record. The transcript is spliced from 3 exons.